AUUGAGCGCUGUCGGCAGGCCUAACACAUGCAAGUCGAGCGGUAACAGAGAGAAGCUUGCUUCUUUGCUGACGAGCGGCGGACGGGUGAGUAACGCGUAGGAAUCUACCUAUUAGUGGGGGAUAAGCCAGAGAAAUUUGGUCUAAUACCGCAUACGCCCUACGGGGGAAAGGAGGGGCUCUUCGGACCUUUCGCUAUUAGAUGAGCCUGCGUAAGAUUAGCUAGUUGGUGAGGUAAGAGCUCACCAAGGCGACGAUCUUUAGCUGGUCUGAGAGGAUGAUCAGCCACACUGGGACUGAGACACGGCCCAGACUCCUACGGGAGGCAGCAGUGGGGAAUAUUGGACAAUGGGGGCAACCCUGAUCCAGCCAUGCCGCGUGUGUGAAGAAGGCCUUCGGGUUGUAAAGCACUUUCAGAUGUGAGGAAAGGUGAGUAGUUAAUACCUGCUUACUGUGACGUUAGCAUCAGAAGAAGGACCGGCUAACUCCGUGCCAGCAGCCGCGGUAAUACGGAGGGUCCGAGCGUUAAUCGGAAUUACUGGGCGUAAAGCGCGCGUAGGUGGUUUUGUCAGUCAGAUGUGAAAGCCCAGGGCUCAACCUUGGAACUGCACCUGAUACUGCAAGACUAGAGUACAAUAGAGGGGAGUGGAAUUUCCGGUGUAGCGGUGAAAUGCGUAGAGAUCGGAAGGAACACCAGUGGCGAAGGCGACUCCCUGGAUUGAUACUGACACUGAG
RNAcentral lists this ribosomal RNA (733 nucleotides) under bacterium IMCC8512. Its description in RNAcentral is "bacterial SSU rRNA". It matches the Rfam family "Bacterial small subunit ribosomal RNA", at positions 28 to 750 of the family's 1533-position model. The record is from RNAcentral.